RNAcentral lists this ribosomal RNA (484 nucleotides) under uncultured bacterium. Its description in RNAcentral is "partial 16S ribosomal RNA". It matches the Rfam family "Bacterial small subunit ribosomal RNA", at positions 29 to 507 of the family's 1533-position model. The record is from RNAcentral.
AUUGAACGCUGGCGGCAUGCUUUACACAUGCAAGUCGAACGGCAGCGCGGGCUUCGGCCUGGCGGCGAGUGGCGAACGGGUGAGUAAUGCAUCGGAACGUGCCCAGUAGUGAGGGAUAGCCCGGCGAAAGCCGGAUUAAUACCGCAUACGACCUGAGGGUGAAAGCGGGGGACCGAAAGGCCUCGCGCUAUUGGAGCGGCCGAUGUCGGAUUAGCUAGUUGGUGGGGUAAAGGCUUACCAAGGCGACGAUCCGUAGCUGGUCUGAGAGGACGACCAGCCACACUGGGACUGAGACACGGCCCAGACUCCUACGGGAGGCAGCAGUGGGGAAUUUUGGACAAUGGGGGCAACCCUGAUCCAGCCAUGCCGCGUGCGGGAAGAAGGCCUUCGGGUUGUAAACCGCUUUUGUUCGGGAAGAAAUCCUCUGGGCCAAUACCCCGGGGGGAUGACGGUACCGGAAGAAUAAGCACCGGCUAACUACGUG